This is an RNA transcript of Gopherus flavomarginatus (Mexican gopher tortoise), 11728 nucleotides long. RefSeq lists it as uncharacterized. The record is from RefSeq and is a predicted model, not a curated record. The transcript has 3 exons. Lineage: Eukaryota; Metazoa; Chordata; Testudines; Testudinidae.
UGGGGUCAGGCCCAUGGACCGGGACUCUCCCCUCUGUUAGGGCAUCCUCUGAGCCCUGCGGUGAGAGACAUCCCUGUCACCCUCAGAUUGCGCUGGGGAGCAGCCACGGGACAACUGGACCAGUCCCCAUGGCUGUCAGCCGCCACCUCCUCUCCAAAGCCACAGGAAAAGCAGAGCAGCUCCAGGGAGCUAGACCCCGGCACAGGAUCCGGCAGCUCGGUCCGGUUCAGAGUCUGCUGCUGCCGAUUCUCCAGGGAGGGCUGAGGGAAGGAAGCAGGAAUCCAGGUCUGGGAGGCGCAGGAGCCAACAGUGCCCCCAGGAGAAGGGACAGUGCUUGGAUUCGGAGCAGGAGCCAUGGGAGAGGGAGAGCAGGGAACUCCUCCAGGCGGGAUUCUUGGAAGCCACGUGGAAACGGGCGGCGUCCAGUUCAGAGCGACCGCCCGAGGAAAUGUAGAUGAGGAGGAGCGGGGUCAGAACAGCAGCGACCCCACUCAGCAGUGUUACCCCUGUGGUUCCCAAACCCACCUGGUAUUUCUCUCAGCUUGACCUCGACAGACGUGAUCCAGGAAGAGCAGGUGCCCUGAGAGAUGGAGCAGGGGGGCUAAGAACCAGCUGGAGCCAGAGUUCAUUUCCUCUCCUGAGGUCGAUGGAGCACGAACACCCCUAGUUCAGGACACGGCAAGGCCUCUGCAGGGAGACGGAAAUCUUACGGCCCCUAACCAGAAGGGUGGGCACAGCACCCUGGAGACACCACGUCCCUCACAGUCCUGCUGCGUCCCGCGCUCUGCCCAGCAGGACCAGCUGGCCUGUGUGAAUCUGGCCCUUUCACAAACAGCAAAUGCUUGGGUCUGGGCGCUCAGAACGACUCCCCUGGCAGCAGCCAUCUGGUCUGACUCCCCUCUGGACACCUUGCGGGACUCAGCAGGGGCCAGGGCUGCAGUGCGGUUGCCUGUCGGCGUGUGCAGCUGGGUGCCGAAGACAGCUGGCCAGGCUGUAGUGACCUGAACUCCCCUCCCCACACGUGGAUGGUGCCAGCUGGGGAAUCAGUGGGAAGGCAACGGAUGACUCCUCGGACAAAGCAAAGAUGCCCCGGCUCCUGCCAAGGCCGCCGGGGGGCUGUAAAUCCUGCUCCAAACCCAGGCUGCCUUUCCCAGCAUCCAGACCAGCCAUGCAGCAGGUGAGAUGAUCCCAGCCACUGCAGGGAAAGUGUCGACACCCAGAGGUGGCUGAUCCGGGGGGACACCCACAAGGCAGCCUCUGGUCCCAGAGCUGGUGUGACUCGAUGCCAGAGCAGAGGGGGAUGGAGCAGCACAUGGGGUCGUAUUCACCAGUGUGCGUAUCCUUCUUCUCUGAUCUCCGCACCAGGUGAGUUCUGUGCUGUCCAGAGAGCGUGGGCGCUGGUUCUGCCCAGAUUGGCCCCUUCUCCCUCUCCCCCGGCCCCUCAGAAUGGGGGUACAGGCGGCUGUCCCCCAUCUCCUGCAGACAGGGGCCAUAGGACCAGUCCCAGAGAGGGGACAGGGCCUGUACUCCAUCCUGGCCCUGCUCAAGGAGAAAUUGGGGCAAUAGGACCGUGCUCGGUCUGGAACAUCUCUGGAAGAGCCCUGGGCAGCCCCAAUUCAAGACAGAUGUUUAAGUCCCACCCUGGCGGUGAUCCGCAAAGGGCCUGUCUGUGCUCCAUGGAACUGAGACACAGCCCUGCCCACCCCCCUUCGUCAGCAUCACCUCAGAGCUCGGUGUCACCUCUGCAUCCCAGCACAUCCGGUUCAGCUCCUCGCCCGUCGGCCUCGCCACAGCCCCCGGGUACCUGCCACGGGUUCAUUGUCAGGGUCACUGCCCUCAAACAGGAAGGAGUCACCUCUGGCCAUCCUCAGCGCCGCUCCAGCCAGAGGGUGAGCCCCACAAACCACUUCCCAGGCACUCCGGAUCCUGGAACCGUGGGUUCAUUCUGCGCUGGGAAGAGAGACGCCUGAGCUCCACCCCACGGAGAGCUCGCCUGGGGCUGGGAAUGACCCACCGUCUCUCGGGUUAUUGCUCAGGAGAGAUGGGACAAUUCCCUGCUUUGUUCAGGACGGCCAGCAGCCUGCAGGAGGUCGCAGCCUGCCCCAGUGUCACUGCUGGGUGUGUUGUGUGUGGACACACUGGGGUGAGUGCACACGAGAGCUCCAGUCUUUCCUGCUGUCCCUGCCUGCUCAGACCUUGGUGCGUCUGAACAGGAGAAUCUGGCCUCCCCGGAGCCUCAGCACCUCUCGGAUGGGGCUCAGCACCUGUCGUUUCCUGUAGCCGGGCCGGACAGGAGAGUCUGGCUUCCCCGGAGCCUCAGCACCUCUCGGAUGGGGCUCAGCACCUGUCGUUUCCUGUAGCCGGGCCGGACAGGAGAGUCUGGCUUCCCCGGAGCCUCAGCACCUCUCGGAUGGGGCUCAGCACCUGUCGUUUCUUGUAGCCGGGCCAGACAGGAGAGCGCUACGGGCAGUGCCAGCCUGUGGGGCUGGGUGCUUGCGUGAGGUGAGCUGAGUACGGAGCAGGAGACGGAACCUGGCAUGAACUGGGUGCAGCUCAGGGUGAUUGGCUGCGGGCUCUGGCCCUGUCCCCAGGGUUGAACAGCUCCCUCCUCCUGCUCCGAACCGACACCAGCGCAGUGCCCUGCGUCAGCGAACAGGGCGGGACGAGGUCGUCACACCAGCAGGAGGAAGCCGACCCUCUGAUGUCCUGUGUGGAGCGAAGCCCCCAGCGUGGUCGAGGAAUGAGGCGUGACGAGCGACGCAGGGAAGAGCUGGCUCAGGCACUCAGGAGCCUGCGCCCAGACGUCCUACUGUUCCUACUGAGGGAAUUUCCAGUCUCACUGAGAGACCCAUUUGUGUCUCACCCACGCUGCAGGGUCCCUCCUUUCCCGGCUGGAAGGGAUCCCGCUGGCAUCCAGGAAACCUUGCACCGGGUCUGCCUGAUCUAGAGCCGGGGGCAGUUCAAGCCGUGCUGCAGGAGACGGAGCUUCUCUGCUUCUUCACCGGCUCUAAUGUAGGUCUUGGAAUUCCUGCAGGAGGGUCGGACCCAGGGCUUGGCAGUCUCAAUGUCACGUCGAGUGGGUGCUCUCCCUGGGCAGGGAGAGGGUCUCUGUACGCUAGGAUAUCCAGCGUUUGCUCCCAGCUGCAUCCCUGCUUCAUCCUUCUACCAGUUGGGGCUCACGGCACCACUUCUCUUCGCCGGUGCCCAAGGACAGGAACCGCGGGCACCAAGACAUGAGCCGCUCCCCGACACCGAAAGGGGACAGGCAAGGAGACCGGGACAGUGCGAGACCCACGCCAGGCUGCUCUCCCUCACCGGCAUCACUGCAGCCGCUGCUAAAGACACCCACGCGGGUCCCUCGUAUCUCACCACGGGAUGCACCACCCUCCUGCUGUCAGUGUACCAGACACUUCACGGUACCAUCCACGCCAGGGGCGUACGCGGCAGCUAGGGACCUGCUUACACUGCCGGUACCAUGGUCCCUGGACGUCCAGGACUUGGCAUCGUCGGCAAGAGACCCUACCCAGCUGUAGAACGGCUCCAAGACCACUCUCCGGGGAAACCCCCUCUGGUCACUUUGCCCAGGGUGUCCCCAUGGCACCGACACCGGGAGGGUCGGCACUGCCAUGGUCUCCUCGCUUCAUAUCGUCAGGACCAUCCACACUGUUCUCCAUGGCCAUCUUACACAACAGGGACAUCUAGUGCGAUGGGGUCCCGAACACUGGGACCGGGGGCUGACACCCAUGCAGGGGCCUUUCUGGAACUUGUGGGGGUUUCCGCCAGCUCAGGGCACCGGCUCCAGGCACUCUGACUCAGUGGCCUCAGAGCAGAGCCCCUCCGGUACUGCACCGAGACACACCAGACCCGAAUCCCAGUACGCAUCCCAGUACCGAGCAGCUGAAGCAGGUUCCCCACUCAGAGGAGAGAGCAGAGACCUUAACAGCUUUAACCACCUCCUCCUCUUUGCCAGACGAGGCGCUGGUGGCCCCAGAGGUGCCCCACCCCAGGGUGAGCACAAAGCCCACCAGGACUUAUCGAAGCGAGUGGCACAAAACUGGUGUCCAGGCAGAGGUGGUGAAAGAGUCACUCAGGCCUUCCCGGCUAGCUGUGCGACAGCAGGCCCCUCAUCACUCUUCCCCUACGUGAGGCGAUCCCAGAGCCCACUGAGGCUCUGGCAGAACCCAGCCUCCCUCCCUCCUAAGCGAACGGAGCGGGAAUAUUUUGUACCUGCCAAGGGCUGAGAAUUUUUAUUCUCUCUCUCACAAUCACGCGUCCCUAGUCGUGGCAGCUGCUGAAGAAAGGGACCAUCAAGUUCAAACGGGGCCCACAGGAAAUGCAAAGGAUCCCCAAAGUUGGCUUUGUUCUGGAGGAAACCCCCUCGCUGGGGGGAUUGCAGCUCCGCGUGGCGACCCAGCAGGCCUGGCUGGGUCGCUGUGAUUUUUGCAAGUGGGAAGCGAUGCAGAAAUGGCAGGACCUGCUCCCUUAGGGCGCCCAGUUGGAGUUCCCUGCCCUUGUGCAGCAAGGGAGAGCAGUGGCCUGGGCCUCUCUGCAGGCAACCCUGGAUGUCAUGGGUUCUGCGGCCAGGUCAGUGGCCACGGUUGUCACCACGCGCAGGAGCUCGUGGUUACAAACUCUGGGAUUUCCACAGGACGUGCAGCAGAUGACCCAGGACCUCCCAUUUGAAGGUUCCUCGCUCUGUUCAGAGCAGACAGACACCAGACUCUAGGGCAGCACUGAAAUCCCUGGGCCUGCACUCGCCCGCAUGAGCUAGAAGGCACUAUAGGCCCCAGCAAUACAGGCAAUGCUGUUCUCCACUGCCCAGACACCAGCAGUGGAGGAGACAGAACAAGGGGUUUGCGUAUAGGCCCCUUCCACCCUCCUCCUCCACGGGGCCAUCCCAGUUGGCUCCUCUUCGUUUCAGCAUCUCAAAGCCCUCGUUUCGACAUGGUGCUUGAGAACGACAUACCAGUCCCUCCACACCAGGAUCCAGUUACCCCUGUAUCUUCCAACCGUCCUAUUCCUCAGUGCCUGGGAACACAUUUACCUUGGAGUGCAGGGUCCUAAACACAGUGGAAUCUGGGUAUAGCUUCCAAAUUUUGUCUACUCCUUCCCACCCACCCACUCUCCCCGUCCCUCUUCAGGGACCCUUCUCACAAGCAUCGUUUGGAGCAGGAGAUACAAUCCUCCUUUGGAUGGGAGCUGUGGGAGAGGUUCCGCACCCACUGAGGGGGAAGGGUCUCUAUUCCCAUUAACUUUCUCAUCUCCAAAGCCAAGGGAGAUCUCAGACCAAUCCUAGACCUGCCUCGGCUCAACCACUGUCUCAGAAAGUGAAAGUUCUGCAUGGUCUCCUUAGCCUCCAUCAUCCUGUGGCUGGAUCCAGGGGACUGGUCUGCCGCCCUCAGCUUGAAAGGUCCAUACUUUCACAUAUUAAUUUUCCAGGGCCACAGAAGGUGUCUAAAAUUUGUGGUAAACCAGACCCAUUAGCAAGUCGCAGCCCUGCCAUUCGGUCUGUCGGCCGCCCCGGCAGCCUUCACCCAGUGUGUGGCAGUAGUAGGGGCCUUUCUGAUUAGGAAUCUGUUUUUUUCCCAUAUCUCAACAAUUGGUUGAUCAGGUUGGUCCCGAGCUCAGGUGGAGCCUGACAUCGACCUCAUACAAUCCACCUUCCAGACUUUAGGUCUGCUGAGAAACAUACAGAAGUUGACACUUAUUCCUGUGCAAAGAAUAGAGUUCACUGAGGCAGUUCUUGACUCGGUGGGGGUGAAGGCCCUUCUGGCGCACCGCUUCUGUACAGCCUGGGCCCUGAUAACCCCCCUGCAGACACACCCAUCACGACUCCUUGGCCACAUGGCAUCAGGCGUGUACAUGGUUUGACACGUGAGGCUGAGACUCGGACCUCUCCAGCCUGGCUGGCUGUGGUACACUCCCCUUCCAGACAUCAUCUGGGCACAGCUCUCACCGUACCAGCUUGAGGCCUGGAGAGGGUAUUUCCCUCAGAUGAAGGAACCGAUCACCCCCCGAGACCUGAACCUUGUCCUCACAAAGCCAACUGGCCCAGCCUUGGAGCCGCUAGCACCAUGCACACUGCUGCACCCCUGUGGGAAGGUCGCCUUUCCGAUUCCCAUCAUGUCGGCUAGACGAGUGUCAGAUCCGAGCCCUCACCGUGGAGCCCCCGGACACAAUCUACUUUAGAGACAGAGUCCAGCUAUGCCCACAUCCAAAGUGCCUCCCAAAAGUGGGCUCCCCAGUUCCACAUGAACCAGCUGAUUUUUCUCCCGGUCCUGUACCCUGAGCCACACGCAGACCGAGCAGGACAAGGCCUGCACUCGCUGAAUGCCAGACGGGCGCUGGCAUUUGACAUUCGGGGACUAAGCCCUUCCCGUAAAUCCCCGCAGCUUUCCACAGUGCUAGCGGGAAGAACAAGGGGGCUCCCCAUCUCCGCUCUGAGGAUUUCGUCUUGGGUUACAUCGCGCGUCCAGGUGUCUUCUGACCUCACGGAGAUUCCCCAUCUGCCGAAGGUCACUGCUCACGUCACAAGGUCUCAGUUCUCUUCAGCGGCCUUUCUAGCGCAAGUCCCUACUCAGGAUAUCUGCAGCUCUGCGACCUGCUCCUCGGCGCACACGUUCUCAGCGCACUGGGCUGUCACUCAGCAGGCCAGGGACAAUGCAUGCUCUGGCCGUGCUGUGCUGCAGCGUAGCCUGACUUGGGGUGUGUUAGUAGUGUUGAUUUAAUUUAUCCGCUUAAUUUAAUUGUAUUUAAUUUUUAAUUAAUAAAUAAUUUUAAUAAUUAUUAAAAUGUAUAUUAAUUAGUAUGGGUUUUGGCUCUCCAAUUUGUUUGAUCAGAAGAUAAAGUUCGUCCUGAAUCAGGCCUCACAGAGUUUAUAAAAGGAACUUUGGGGCUAUGACAGGAAGCUCACACUGAGACAGGUAUAGUUAUAAAAACCUUUUAUUAAAAUCAAUAAAAUAGUAAGCAAAUGGUAAAACAGUUAGAAUUACUGUUAUUUGAGAGAUACAGAUGACAAUACAAUAUUGUAAGCUGCAAACAUGGUUAAUACUCACGCUCUGUUUUAAUAAGCUGGUGUUGGAAGAUACAGACCACGCCUGUGGCAAUUUCUGUUUUCACACCUCUGGCAGAGGAAGCUAAAUGCAGGGCUGUUAAAGCGGUUUGCUCUCUAACUUAACCCUGUGAGCCUAAAAUAAAACAUAAGGGAAAUUAAAUCCCUGUACGCUUACAGUUUGAAAGAAAUAAACUACGGCCUGUUAAUAUUAAUAACUGUCACAGAUGGGUAGCAUCGACACGUUGUUGAAGGUGGAGGCAAUGAAGAGUAGACGGGAGCAGAUAGGUGGGUAGAUUGCCUGCCUGAUGGUGAGCUACCUCGCCUUUUUAUAGGGCAUUAGUCAGAAAUCCUUCCUCUUAUGCCCAAAUUUCAUCCUUCCCCCAUGGAAAUGUUAGGGUACACUUACUCCAUAGGCUAAUAUGUAUGUGCGUAUGAAUGACAGGUAUGUAUGCAUUUGUGGUGUACUUGUUAGAUAUGUGGGCAAAAAUCCUGCUUUUCCACCCUUUACUGUUGGUUCAGGCAAAGGUCUCUAGACAUCUGCGUGGGUGUUUUUGUCUAAUUUUACUGAUAUCUGGGUAAGGGUCCCAAAAUGUGUUAACUUCGCAUUAGCUUAACAUACAGGGUUUUGGCCCUGUAGGUCUCUUGCAUUACAGCCAAACUUAUUCUUAAUAUAAAUCUAUAAGCCUAUUACAUCAAAUACUCAAAUUUAUAAGAGAUAUAUUUACACAGACCAGCAGAUUAAUCGUUAGGGCUACAGCAGUCAGCUUGUCCUUGAACUCUGGGCCCCCCUCCAGUGCCGUGGCUUGUGAGUCACCGACAUCGGAAUGGACACGAGCAAGUGCUCGAAGAAGGAAUGAUGGUUACUGACCUUUCUGUGACUGUUGUUCUUUGAGAUGAGACACCCACCCCCCGGCCCCGCUCUCGGAGUUGUUGGUAAGACGGGACUGAGGGGUGCGGGCUCGGCAGGGCCCCUUAUACCGGCACUAUGAGCCCAUGGCACCAGGUGCUCCAGAGCCGACCCGACAGGUAGCACUAGGGGAAAUGUUCCAGCAGUGAUGCUCGGGGAGCUCGCACCCCUACAUGGGAACGGAUGUGUGUAGCACAUCUCGACGGACAGUGGUUAUAGAAAGGUUAGUGGCCAUUUUCCCUCAGUGAUCAGGGGGUUGUUUAGACAGAGACUCAGCUUUAAUCUCAGAGAUGACCCCUGUUUGUCCUGGGGCCCAAGGAAUGGCACCUCCCCUCCUUUUGUCCAGCACCAUCUCACCGAGGGAGGAGCUCUGGGAACUCUGGGUGUUCAUGGAGCCCUCAAGAUCCACAUACGCUGCACACGGUGUUUGUGCAUGGCCAGGGCUCGGUUUGUUCUCUGCCAUCCCACAACUAAAGGACAAACUGUCAAAAUCUGCCAUGCCAGGAUGGCUGAGAUGGUGCAGCCCGCAGCCUACAAGUCAGAGCCGCCCCAGCACCUUGCCUCCACCCCCCUCGCUGAGAGUGGCAGCAACAGCCCACGGGGCUGCAGGAUCCGUACUGCCCUGUGUGGUGAGAUCUGCCUGGCCCGGUUCAGACCUUCCCACACUGUCACAGCUGGACAUGCUGGCACCAGCCCACGCUGCUGUCAGUGGGAGAGGGCCCAGCGCUGGGUCUGCCGGUAGCAGAGAAGGAGCUGAGCACCCUGGCUUGUCAUUCUGUUAGACCCACCCCUCAUGGCUCCCCAUUGUGGGAAUCCUCUGGGGUACGGGUCUCUGCUCGUGUGGCAGGGAGAGAAAAGGAAAAUAUGGCCUGGCAGACUGACCAUUUCCUUCGAGUCACAAGGUCCAUGACCAGCUCCCCUCUUUGGAGCAUUUCUCUGAGUUGAUAAAAAGCCCAGUGGGUCCAUGCCCCGGUUCCUCUGCAGCAGGAAUUCACCGUUUAUUUCUGUAACACCUAGAGGCUCAUUCCCGACUGUCUGCCCACAGGGACGUGUGUCCUGGGCCGUGCGGGGAGCUGUCUCCGCAGGCAGGCUCUGCGGGUAGCUGGCCAGACCCUCCCCAAGCAGUGCCUGGCGGGUCUGGUCUGCCCGUGCAGCUACAGCAGGCCUGGGGUGUGGGACGGAGCUAUGGCCCCAAUAACCCCAAGAGGAAGCUUCAGUCAGUCAGGAUCAGUUUCCUAAUGUGGGGAUAGUUUGUUUAGCCUUCUCGUGGCUGAGGCGUUUGGGGGACUCCCCCCACCCAAGGCGUGUGAGGGCAUAUGGGGGUCACACUAACCAGGAAUGCACACGCAGCCCCAGGGCUCCCCUAGCUCUGAACUAGCCCAGAGUUGGGUGGUUCUGGCCCCACUGCAGGGCUCGGGGGCUGUUGGAUGGGGGCUGAGCUUCCACCUUCUCUCCAAACCCAGUGUCCUCAUCCAUUAAUUCUGUGCCCCCCACUCCCGGCCCCUCCGUGUCCUGUCUACACUGAGCUUCCCAUGCUCCCAGCUGCCUGCGUGUCCCGGCCGUGCCGCGCUCAGCCAGCCAGCUCAGGCUGUUCCCUGACAGGGCAGGAGGCUCCACUCCCAACUGGGGGGGGGGGGGCAGGGGUGACUGAGGACGGCAGCAUCUUGAGGGGAGCUGGGUUGGGGGGACUGAGGGGGCUGGUGCAGAAGGAGGGGGGGUGGGGGCACAGAAGGUGCAGAGGGGCUGGUGCUGAGGCAGGGUGGGACAGAGCAAGCAGGGUACGGAGGGGGCUGGGGUACGGGGUGGAGGGGCCGGGGCAGAGGGAGCAAUUGCAGGAUCAGGCUGGUGGAAGGAGCUGUUGUAGGGUGGCAGCGGGUGCGGAGGGAGUACAUAGGGUGCUGAGACAGGACAUCAUCGGGGGGAGGGUGCCCAGAGCUGGGGGGCAGGACAGCGCAGGGGCUGGAGCGGAGACUCUCCUGGGUGGGAAUCAAUGGGGAGCAGACCCCAAAAGGCAGGAGAUGGUCAGGAGGAGAGACCCAGGAAAUGGGAAGAGCCUGGGGAGGAAAGCGAGGUGGGCACCCCCAGUGCCUGGAGGGGGGCCGUUCUGGCUAGCUUGUCUCGCUGCUCCCGUGGCCCCAGCAGCGUGGUGGCAGGGCUGUGAGACGUGCCGUGUUGGGGGGAGCAGGUGGAACCCAGCAGCCUGCCCAGCCCUGGCUACCUUUGGGGUUUGUGUGCAGACGGGGGCUAAUUGUGUCCAACCUGCGCUGAGCUCAGGCCGGUGCCGGCUGCGGGGACGGUUACUGGGGUUGGCUCCGGCCCCCAGCAGGCCCUGAGCUGCCGUUACUGGCUUGGCCUGAACCCCAUGCAGUGAGUGGAGGUGGGGGGCUGGCUGCACGCCCUACAGGGGCCUGAUUCGCAGGGGGGGGUGCCCAGCUCGCCUUUCCAGGUGAGAGCGUUGGGCCCCUUUCAGUGUUUCUGGCUAGACCCCUCCCCAAAAUCGCCUGUCACUGGUGAACACGCAGCCCAGACUGUGGCUUUCUCCGUGUGGGAUGGGGGUAUGCGAGGGUGUUUGGGUCCCCGCCUGGGCUAUUCUCAUACCAUUCCCCCCACUGCACCCAUGGGCUCCCUGCUUCUGUUUGCCGAGCCAGUUGCCCUCCCUGCCACUAGCUUCUCUUUCCUGCCCCCAUGUCCGUCCCCACCUCCUGACAGCCCAGGGUGCAGCCACGUACCAAGGGCAGCCCUGCUCUGGGUUCCCUGGCACAUGGGGCCACCUUAGCCGGGGGCAGCGUCUCUGCCGCUGGUAGGGAAACGGGCCAUCCUAGCACAGGGCGUCCUGCGGCUCCAGCUCCGUGGCAGAGGUGGCCAGGCUCAGGAGCAGAACCAGCGCGGUUUGCGCCUUGGCCAUGGUCGCCCCCGGGGCGCUAGGCGGCGCCUGGAGCUGUGCCCUACAAACCGGAACAGGGAGACGCUGGGAACGUCGGGCACGUGUGGGGCGGGGGCGCUGCUGGGUGGGGUCGGUGUGAGCGGGGAGAUACUGGGAACAUCGGGCACGUGUGGGGCGGGGGCGCUGCUGGGUGGGGUCGGUGUGAGCGGGGGGAAACUGGGAACGUCGGUCACGUGUGGGGCGGGGCGCUGCUGGGUGGGGUCGGUGUGAGCGGGGAGACACUGGGAACAUCGGGCACAUGUGGGGCGGGGUGCUGCUGGGUGGGGUCGGUGUGAACAGGGAGACGCUGGGAACGUCGGGCACGUGUGGGGCGGGGGCGCUGCUGGGUGGGGUCAGUGUGAACGGGGAGACACUGGGAACGUCGGGUACGUGUGGGGCGGGGGCGCUGCUGGGUGGGGUCGGUGUGAGCGGGGAGAUACUGGGAACAUCGGGCACGUGUGGGGCGGGGUCGCUGCUGGGUGGGGUCAGUGUGAACGGGGAGACACUGGGAACGUCGGGCACGUGUGGGGCGGGGGCGCUGCUGGGUGGGGUCGGUGUGAACGGGGAAACGCUGGGAACGUCGGGCACGUGUGGGGCGGGGGUGCUGCUGGGUGGGGUCGGUGUGAGCGGGGAGACACUGGGAACGUCGGGCACGUGUGGGGCGGGGGCGCUGCUGGGUGGGGUCGGUGUGAGCGGGGAGACACUGGGAACAUCGGGCACGUGUGGGGCGGGGGCGCUGCUGGGUGGGGUCGGUGUGAGCGGGGAGACACUGGGAACGUCGGGCACGUGUGGGGCGGGGGCGCUGCUGGGUGAGGUCGGUGUGAGCGGGGAGACACUGGGAACA